AUACGGAGGGGGCUAGCGUUGCUCGGAAUUACUGGGCGUAAAGGGCGUGUAGGCGGCUUGUUAAGUCGGAUGUGAAAGCCCCGGGCUCAACCUGGGAAUUGCGUUCGAUACUGCAUGACUAGAGUAUGGGAGAGGGAAGUGGAAUUUCCGGUGUAGCGGUGAAAUGCGUAGAUAUCGGAAGGAACACCAGUGGCGAAGGCGACUUCCUGGCCCAAUACUGACGCUAAGGUGCGAAAGCGUGGGGAGCAAACAGGAUUAGAAACCCCAGUAGUCC
Molecule: ribosomal RNA, 274 nt
Filed under: uncultured bacterium
Lineage: Bacteria
Description: partial 16S ribosomal RNA
Rfam family: Bacterial small subunit ribosomal RNA
Source: RNAcentral